GAGAUAGGACUGCAAGUGUGUAG
RNAcentral lists this non-coding RNA (23 nucleotides) under Cricetulus griseus (Chinese hamster). Lineage: Eukaryota; Metazoa; Chordata; Mammalia; Rodentia; Cricetidae. The record is from RNAcentral.